RNAcentral lists this ribosomal RNA (1479 nucleotides) under Acinetobacter sp. 157. RNAcentral describes it as "16S ribosomal RNA". It matches the Rfam family "Bacterial small subunit ribosomal RNA". Lineage: Bacteria; Pseudomonadati; Pseudomonadota; Gammaproteobacteria; Moraxellales; Moraxellaceae. The record is from RNAcentral.
CUUACACAUGCAAGUCGAGCGGGGGAAGGUAGCUUGCUACUGGACCUAGCGGCGGACGGGUGAGUAAUGCUUAGGAAUCUGCCUAUUAGUGGGGGACAACAUCUCGAAAGGGAUGCUAAUACCGCAUACGUCCUACGGGAGAAAGCAGGGGAUCUUCGGACCUUGCGCUAAUAGAUGAGCCUAAGUCGGAUUAGCUAGUUGGUGGGGUAAAGGCCUACCAAGGCGACGAUCUGUAGCGGGUCUGAGAGGAUGAUCCGCCACACUGGGACUGAGACACGGCCCAGACUCCUACGGGAGGCAGCAGUGGGGAAUAUUGGACAAUGGGGGGAACCCUGAUCCAGCCAUGCCGCGUGUGUGAAGAAGGCCUUAUGGUUGUAAAGCACUUUAAGCGAGGAGGAGGCUACUCUAGUUAAUACCUAGGGAUAGUGGACGUUACUCGCAGAAUAAGCACCGGCUAACUCUGUGCCAGCAGCCGCGGUAAUACAGAGGGUGCGAGCGUUAAUCGGAUUUACUGGGCGUAAAGCGUGCGUAGGCGGCUUAUUAAGUCGGAUGUGAAAUCCCCGAGCUUAACUUGGGAAUUGCAUUCGAUACUGGUGAGCUAGAGUAUGGGAGAGGAUGGUAGCAUUCCAGGUGUAGCGGUGAAAUGCGUAGAGAUCUGGAGGAAUACCGAUGGCGAAGGCAGCCAUCUGGCCUAAUACUGACGCUGAGGUACGAAAGCAUGGGGAGCAAACAGGAUUAGAUACCCUGGUAGUCCAUGCCGUAAACGAUGUCUACUAGCCGUUGGGGCCUUUGAGGCUUUAGUGGCGCAGCUAACGCGAUAAGUAGACCGCCUGGGGAGUACGGUCGCAAGACUAAAACUCAAAUGAAUUGACGGGGGCCCGCACAAGCGGUGGAGCAUGUGGUUUAAUUCGAUGCAACGCGAAGAACCUUACCUGGCCUUGACAUACUAGAAACUUUCCAGAGAUGGAUUGGUGCCUUCGGGAAUCUAGAUACAGGUGCUGCAUGGCUGUCGACAGCUCGUGUCGUGAGAUGUUGGGUUAAGUCCCGCAACGAGCGCAACCCUUUUCCUUACUUGCCAGCAUUUCGGAUGGGAACUUUAAGGAUACUGCCAGUGACAAACUGGAGGAAGGCGGGGACGACGUCAAGUCAUCAUGGCCCUUACGGCCAGGGCUACACACGUGCUACAAUGGUCGGUACAAAGGGUUGCUACACAGCGAUGUGAUGCUAAUCUCAAAAAGCCGAUCGUAGUCCGGAUUGGAGUCUGCAACUCGACUCCAUGAAGUCGGAAUCGCUAGUAAUCGCGGAUCAGAAUGCCGCGGUGAAUACGUUCCCGGGCCUUGUACACACCGCCCGUCACACCAUGGGAGUUUGUUGCACCAGAAGUAGCUAGCCUAACUGCAAAGAGGGCGGUUACCACGGUGUGGCCGAUGACUGGGGUGAAGUCGUAACAAGGUAGCCGUAGGGGAACCUGCGGCUGGA